GUACAACUCAUUGUUUCUAAUGAUGAUGAAGUAGACUAAGAGCCUGUGAGCAAGCCCUGUCAGAAAGGGUAACAAGUCACAUUGGUAUAAGUGGCCUGAACUGGAACAGUAGUGUUGCUACAGUUUGCAAAACGCCCUCAUUUCUCACAAAUCUGAGACUCACCCUGCUAAUAUGAAAACUGAACUCUGUUAUUUUGCCCUCCACAAAGUGCUUAUUACCUAUUUGGAACUUUGUAAUCUUUACCAGGCACUUUGGGAGUCACACAGCUGAGGAUCCUCAUUUACUUACACACACAGUUGCCUAAUGUGCUUUAUAAGUCACGUAUAAUUACAGUGAAUGCAGCUUUCUAAAGAUACACUUGUGGGAAGCGUGGCUUCUUCAACUUCUAGAAAAAUGUUCACAUGCAGGAAAAAGGGUUCCUUUGACAAUAUCUAAAGUCUUCUUCAGACUCAGAAAUAAUUUAUCUUUACCUUUAAAAUAUCCAUUUCAAAGGAUGCAGACAUACUGAAGGUUGCUAAGGGCUGUUUCCUGGCUUGGGAAUCGGGCUGAACUGGCUGAUCUAACAGUUCGCUGAGAUCCCAUUAGAACGAUACCACUUCCCAGAGACAACGGGAGUCAUGAGGUCUUCGAGUGGGGAGGAUGGUGUCCCCCACUGUGUGGGGCUAACAUUGGAUUCAUACACAAGCCGAUCGAUCCAUGCUGGACAAAGAACAAGCCCCUGCGUCUCACCGUCAUGGUCACCAUUAAAGGGCUGGAUUUGCUUUCUGUUGUCAAGAUCCUUGAAGGGUUCCACAGAGUGGGUGGGGUCGGAAGAGGAGGAGCAAGGCAGUAGGUGGGCUCUUUCCUCCACCCCAGCCCAUCUCUCCUGUACAUCCUGGUCUUUCUUGAACUGGAAGGUCCUCCUACACCCGUCUGUCAGUGGCACCGUAAGCUGGAUAGAGCAGAUUUGGCCAACCCCAACCAAUUCAUUAUUUACAUUUUGAGUCUGCAGAUGGUCUGAGAUACCUAGAACAGUGAAUUACAGCUGCCUCUAUCUUCCUCAUUUCUAGAGGUAAAUGAUUCUCAAAAUGGAAACUUGGGGAAUUAAAAAAAAUCAUUUAAUUAUUUUACAAUCACUUUUCAUUUUAAGUUCUCUUAUUUGAAGUCUGCCUGGAAAUUCAUGCUUAAAAUGUCCUUGAGGGGCACCUGGGUGGCUCAGCCAGUUAAGCAUCUCUUGAUUUUGGCUCAGGUCAUGAUCUCACAGUUUGUGAGUUCGAGCCCCACAUCGAACUCUGUGCUGACAGUGCAGAGUCUGCUUGGGAUUCUCUCUGUACCUCCCUUUCUGCCACUCCCCUGCUCUCACUCUCAAAAUAAAUAAACCUAAAAAAUUUUUUAAAUGCUCCUU
RNAcentral lists this long non-coding RNA (1385 nucleotides) under Felis catus (domestic cat). Its description in RNAcentral is "lncRNA (ENSFCAG00000049855.1)". Lineage: Eukaryota; Metazoa; Chordata; Mammalia; Carnivora; Felidae. The record is from RNAcentral.